Scophthalmus maximus (turbot) is the source of this 759-nucleotide long non-coding RNA. RefSeq lists it as uncharacterized. Lineage: Eukaryota; Metazoa; Chordata; Actinopteri; Pleuronectiformes; Scophthalmidae. The transcript is spliced from 4 exons. The record is from RefSeq and is a predicted model, not a curated record.
CCUUGACAACAAGACACCGGUAUAAACUCAGGUGGGCGCCGCCAUCUUGUCUGGGCGACAUCCGGUAUCUUGGUUUUUUAAUUAGUUAAUCUACGCCACCACCUCGCGAGCACUCCCUAAUACAACCCGGAAGUUGUGAGAGUGGACGUUCAGCGUAUAUACCAAAGCCUCAGUGUGUAAUUGUUUGUAAUUUCCUGGCCGCAUCUGGUGGUAAAGUUGCAAACCGCAUCCGACCGAGCAACCGACGGGGGACACUUUAUGGUGGCGCGCCGCUGAUUCCAUUUCCGGUUUCCGGCAGGCAGCGCUGAAAACAAAAAUUCAACGCGAACGCGAAGUAGCAAACAUGGCGACCUACACGGAAGUGGAGUCCACCUCAUGUACCAGUUGUCUCUAUGCAAACCUGUGGGGUUUUGCUCAGCGGUGCAGAAGAAAACAACACACACAAGAUAUAGACGGCAAACGCUCUGGUGUUUUAAGAAACCUCUUGACGGAGCGUGGUACGCAGCACGUCAUGCUUCAGAACUGGAAAGAAGCCCAGCAUUCCUGAACACUGCUCUUCUCCCAAGUAAACACUCCUACUGAGCCCUGCCUAUAAAUCUAUGAUGGAGCGUCAUGUGUUUCCAAGAGAGCCGAGGCGCCGGGCGGACGGAGGCGAAAGGAUGAAGCAGUCGACGCGACAGCGGCUGAGCUGGCUGAGGAAACUUCACCGCCAACCCUCGGGUGCAGACUGGAGCCACGACCAUUCAGCUCAGCCAGAGA